Long non-coding RNA from Dipodomys spectabilis (banner-tailed kangaroo rat), 1881 nucleotides. RefSeq lists it as uncharacterized. The transcript is spliced from 4 exons. The record is from RefSeq and is a predicted model, not a curated record. Lineage: Eukaryota; Metazoa; Chordata; Mammalia; Rodentia; Heteromyidae.
CCUUCAGCGCCGCUCCCUGGCGGGCGGCUGCGGCGCUUACCCCAUGCGUGACCCAGGGCUUCUUUGGCCUGCGUCCCUGAAGCCCCGGCGCCGCCCGCGAGCUUCCACCUGGGCUGGAAGGGUCGGGGUGAACUCUUAACUCCUGAGGUCGAAUCCGUCGACUCCUGCCCUUCGGGAAGAAACAGAAAGCGGUGGGCAAGUUCUGGAAAGAUUGCUGAACUCUGAACCAUUAUGUGGCUGUUCCCAUGUUGCUUAUGGUCUGUGGACAAGCCUGCAGACAACUGCAACAACUCAGAGAAGCAAAUGAAAGCUGUUUUUUACCUGGGAAAAUAAAAUCUGGACUUGAAAAUUGUGACUACUAUUUAGAAAAAAAAAAAGAUGGAAAGUUGACUGUGUUUCUGCAUACCUCUAAUCACCAAGGGGAUGAGGCAGGAGGAUCGUGCGUUCAGGAGAAUCAGGAGGGCUACACCUUAGAAUGAUGAAAGGAGUGACAUGGAGCAAGAUGCGAUGUACCUCUAAACUGAUUUGUUGAAUGAUAACUCCUCUGCAUAACUACUUCAAGUUAAUAAACAUGAUUUUAUAAAUAGAUGGAAGGUGCUAUGGGUGAACUGGAGAAAAGGAAAGAUGGUCUCUACAAGUCUCUACUUCUGAGACUCAGGAUGGGAACUGAGAGAUAUGUUAAAGAAUCCUUGGAAAUAAGUUGAAGAUUGAAUCAUAAGAAAAAGAACCUCACAGAAAAAUAAGGAGUCUUUAAAGGAAGAGAAAGGCCCAAGUAAUAUGACAAUAUGGGACCUCACCAUUGUCCUCAAAUCUUCAGCAAAGAUAAAAUAUGAAAUGUAUUUUCUGGUGAAAAUUAAGUAGAUGAUUUGCAUCUUAAUACAAUGUAGUACAACUAGCAGCAGCAUAUUAGCAACAAUAAAACAACCCAUCCAUUGAGCUAGCUAGUAACCAGAGAAGGCACAAGGUUCACCCUCACCUUCAGAAUCUGCACACGGGAAUGAAUAAACUUAAGGCAAUUACAUUUGAAUCGCAAAAAAUGGGUUAUAAAUUGAUAAGAGGUGUGUACUUUACUUUUCACUCACUUUACUCCGUGUGACAGCCAUUUCCUACCUUCUGAACAGAAAAUACUUGCAUGGUGAUGAUGUUGACAUCCACGUUCCAUUUUCCUUUCAUUCAGAGGCCUGGGCCAUUGUAUGUUUUCUAUUCCUUUCUAGCUCUGGUCAGCAAACAGUGUUUCCUCCUUCACAGUAGAACUGAUUCUUGGGGCAGCUGCCCUUUACCCAAGUUGUGGAAUUGGGUAGAACCCUUUGAACAGUGGUAUUCUGGUGGCCUUUUCCUUAGUGAAAACAUCAGUCUCUUCCCUAGACUUAUUGCCACCCACAUUUUUUUCUUCCCUGACAGGCCUCCCACGGGUAAGUUUUGCUAUUAAGAGAGAUUCCAGAUAAUUAGUACAGGGAAUUGGAAUCAAAGAGAGAAAUAAUGGAAGACAUCACCAUAGUGUCCUAUUUAAUAAAACUAGUAUCUGAGCAGAACAAUAGGUAGCCUCCCUGUGGUCUGAGGGAAAAUAGUAGACAAGGAAAAAAGACAAGGACAGGGAUUUAGUAGUAGAGUUAGGAAUAAAAGAUAAUUUCCAGAUGAUGAAUCAGUAUCACCUCUGUGGUGUAAGUAGUCUCUCUGCCCAUAGUCAAGAACUUGAAACUAUCUCAUUCUGACCUUCCUCUGGGUACAUCCUUACCCAUUAGAUGAGGAAUCUAUAGAAUCAGGAGACAUACACAUUUGGAGACUAAGACCACCCUAUGAAGUUUCCACCCCAAAUAGCUGAGCCAUUACCAGGGACAUCACAGCAUUCCAAGCUGUGAAGAUAUAUUUGUCCAGGUAAGA